Molecule: ribosomal RNA, 469 nt
Filed under: uncultured bacterium
Lineage: Bacteria
Description: partial 16S ribosomal RNA
Rfam family: Bacterial small subunit ribosomal RNA
Source: RNAcentral
GGGCGAACGCUGGCGGCGUGCUUAACACAUGCAAGUCGAACGGAAAGGCCCUGCUUUUGUGGGGUGCUCGAGUGGCGAACGGGUGAGUAACACGUGAGUAACCUGCCCUUGACUUUGGGAUAACUUCAGGAAACUGGGGCUAAUACCGGAUAGGAGCUCCUGCUGCAUGGUGGGGGUUGGAAAGUUUCGGCGGUUGGGGAUGGACUCGCGGCUUAUCAGCUUGUUGGUGGGGUAGUGGCUUACCAAGGCUUUGACGGGUAGCCGGCCUGAGAGGGUGACCGGCCACAUUGGGACUGAGAUACGGCCCAGACUCCUACGGGAGGCAGCAGUGGGGAAUAUUGCACAAUGGGCGGAAGCCUGAUGCAGCAACGCCGCGUGCGGGAUGACGGCCUUCGGGUUGUAAACCGCUUUCGCCUGUGACGAAGCGUGAGUGACGGUAAUGGGUAAAGAAGCACCGGCUAACUACGUG